RNAcentral lists this small nucleolar RNA (67 nucleotides) under Cercocebus atys (sooty mangabey). RNAcentral describes it as "Small Nucleolar RNA SNORD64 (ENSCATG00000001602.1)". It matches the Rfam family "Small Nucleolar RNA SNORD64". Rfam says of the family: The human snoRNA HBII-13 belongs to the C/D family of snoRNAs. It is expressed mainly in the brain, but is also in the lungs, the kidneys and muscle. The record is from Rfam by way of RNAcentral. RNAcentral also lists the same sequence under 2 other names. Lineage: Eukaryota; Metazoa; Chordata; Mammalia; Primates; Cercopithecidae.
GGAUUUAUAAUGAUCUGUGUUUACUGAGCAUGAUGAAGUAAAGUUCAACAUGAUUACUCUGAAGUCU